Molecule: ribosomal RNA, 256 nt
Filed under: uncultured bacterium
Lineage: Bacteria
Description: partial 16S ribosomal RNA
Rfam family: Bacterial small subunit ribosomal RNA
Source: RNAcentral
UACGUAGGGUGCGAGCGUUGUCCGGAAUUAUUGGGCGUAAAGAGCUUGUAGGUGGUUUGUCGCGUCUGCUGUGAAAAUCCGAGGCUCAACCUCGGACUUGCAGUGGGUACGGGCAGACUAGAGUGUGGUAGGGGAGACUGGAAUUCCUGGGUGUAGCGGUGGAAUGCGCAGAUAUCAGGAGGAACACCGAUGGCGAAGGCAGGUCUCUGGGCCAUUACUGACACUGGAGAAGCGGAAAGCAUGGGGAGCGAACAGG